GCCGCUGUGGCUUAGCGGUAUAGCGGCUGAUUCGUAAUCAGCAGGUCGGGGGUUCGAUUCCCCCCAGCGGCU
Molecule: transfer RNA, 72 nt
Filed under: Methanoculleus marisnigri
Lineage: Archaea; Methanobacteriati; Methanobacteriota; Methanomicrobia; Methanomicrobiales; Methanomicrobiaceae
Also listed under: 8 other names
Description: tRNA-Thr
Rfam family: tRNA
About the family: Transfer RNA (tRNA) molecules are approximately 80 nucleotides in length. Their secondary structure includes four short double-helical elements and three loops (D, anti-codon, and T loops). Further hydrogen bonds mediate the characteristic L-shaped molecular structure. tRNAs have two regions of fundamental functional importance: the anti-codon, which is responsible for specific mRNA codon recognition, and the 3' end, to which the tRNAs corresponding amino acid is attached (by aminoacyl-tRNA synthetases). tRNAs cope with the degeneracy of the genetic code in two manners: having more than one tRNA (with a specific anti-codon) for a particular amino acid; and 'wobble' base-pairing, i.e. permitting non-standard base-pairing at the 3rd anti-codon position.
Source: RNAcentral